RNAcentral lists this transfer RNA (72 nucleotides) under Entomophthora muscae. RNAcentral describes it as "tRNA-Glu". It matches the Rfam family "tRNA". Rfam says of the family: Transfer RNA (tRNA) molecules are approximately 80 nucleotides in length. Their secondary structure includes four short double-helical elements and three loops (D, anti-codon, and T loops). The record is from RNAcentral. Lineage: Eukaryota; Fungi; Entomophthoromycota; Entomophthoromycetes; Entomophthorales; Entomophthoraceae.
UCCCCAAUGGUCCAGUGGCUAGGAUUCCACGCUCUCACCGAGGCGGCUAGGGUUCGAUUCCCUGUUGGGGAA